GAAUCGCGAUAAGUAAUGUGAAUUGCAGAUCUUCCGUGAAUCAUCGAAUCUUUGAACGCACCUUGCGCUCCUCGGUAUUCCGAGGAGCAUGCCUGUCUGAGCGUCUGGAUACUCUCGGUUCCGAGAUCUUUCGGGGUAUCGGAACCGGAACUUGGGAGCUUGCGGGCGUCCUCGGUUGAGAGGACGUCGGCUCUCCUGAAAUGCAUUAGCGGAGAGGGAACAGCACCCGAAGCCAAGUGAUGGAGUGCGACCCUUUUUCCCUCGGCGUCGUAAGGAUCGUCGUGGGCAGCUCGGGGAAGUGCGAGCGGGGUUUCGGGUGAUGGCAUGUCUCACGCUGCUAGCAUGGUCGGCGAGCCUCACGGGUCGUCGGACACAUUUUCAGGACUCGGCCUCAGAUCAGGCAGGGCUACCCGCUGAACUUAA
RNAcentral lists this ribosomal RNA (423 nucleotides) under Gyroporus castaneus. RNAcentral's name for it is "eukaryotic LSU rRNA". The stretch from base 1 to 106 matches the Rfam family "5.8S ribosomal RNA", at positions 50 to 154 of the family's 154-position model. Lineage: Eukaryota; Fungi; Basidiomycota; Agaricomycetes; Boletales; Gyroporaceae. The record is from RNAcentral.